CCACACUAACAAGCAAUACGUAUUCCUCAAUCUGUUAAGCCAACCCAGGAGCGCCCACAGGAUGAUUAAAACCUACAGAAGGAACUCGGCAAACCAAAGACCCGACUGUUUCCCAAAAACAUAGCCUUCAGCUAACAACAAGUAUUGAAGGUGAUGCCUGCCCAGUGACCCCCAAAGUUCAACGGCCGCGGUAUCCUAACCGUGCGAAGGUAGCGCAAUCAAUUGUCCCGUAAAUUGAGACUUGUAUGAAUGGCUAAACGAGGUCUUAACUGUCUCCUGUAGGUAAUCUAUGAAAUUAGUAUUCCCGUGCAAAAACGAGAAUGUGAACAUAAGACGAGAAGACCCUGUGGAACUUUAAAAUCACGACCACCUUACAACCUUACACAGCCCCACUGGGUCCACCCACACAUAAACC
RNAcentral lists this ribosomal RNA (415 nucleotides) under Gallus gallus (chicken). RNAcentral's name for it is "partial 16S ribosomal RNA". It matches the Rfam family "Bacterial large subunit ribosomal RNA", at positions 1600 to 2447 of the family's 2925-position model. The record is from RNAcentral. Lineage: Eukaryota; Metazoa; Chordata; Aves; Galliformes; Phasianidae.